Molecule: transfer RNA, 28 nt
Filed under: Equus caballus (horse)
Lineage: Eukaryota; Metazoa; Chordata; Mammalia; Perissodactyla; Equidae
Description: partial tRNA-Pro
Source: RNAcentral
GCUGAAAUUCUACUUAAACUAUUCCUUG